UGGGGAAUAUUGCACAUUGGGCGCAAGCCUGAUGCAGCCAUGCCGCGUGUGUGAAGAAGGCCUUCGGGUUGUAAAGCACUUUCAGCGGGGAGGAAGGCGGUGAGGUUAAUAACCUCAUCGAUUGACGUUACCCGCAGAAGAAGCACCGGCUAACUCCGUGCCAGCAGCCGCGGUAAUACGGAGGGUGCAAGCGUUAAUCGGAAUUACUGGGCGUAAAGCGCACGCAGGCGGUCUGUCAAGUCGGAUGUGAAAUCCCCGGGCUCAACCUGGGAACUGCAUUCGAAACUGGCAGGCUAGAGUCUUGUAGAGGGGGGUAGAAUUCCAGGUGUAGCGGUGAAAUGCGUAGAGAUCUGGAGGAAUACCGGUGGCGAAGGCGGCCCCCUGGACAAAGACUGACGCUCAGGUGCGAAAGCGUGGGGAGCAAACAGG
Molecule: ribosomal RNA, 429 nt
Filed under: Chloroflexota bacterium
Lineage: Bacteria; Bacillati; Chloroflexota
Description: Chloroflexi bacterium partial 16S ribosomal RNA
Rfam family: Bacterial small subunit ribosomal RNA
Source: RNAcentral